This 80-nucleotide non-coding RNA is filed under the name Paramoeba aestuarina. The record is from RNAcentral. Lineage: Eukaryota; Discosea; Flabellinia; Dactylopodida; Paramoebidae.
AAAAGAAAAAGAAAAAAGAAGAAGAGCAAACAGUGUUGUGUGUGCUGUUUGGCUUGUCUUGCGUUUUUUCUCUCCCCUCC